RNAcentral lists this ribosomal RNA (425 nucleotides) under uncultured bacterium. RNAcentral's name for it is "partial 16S ribosomal RNA". It matches the Rfam family "Bacterial small subunit ribosomal RNA", at positions 354 to 796 of the family's 1533-position model. The record is from RNAcentral.
GUGGGGAAUCUUGCGCAAUGGGCGAAAGCCUGACGCAGCCAUGCCGCGUGAAUGAUGAAGGUCUUAGGAUUGUAAAAUUCUUUCACCGGGGACGAUAAUGACAGUACCCGGAGAAGAAGCUCCGGCUAACUUCGUGCCAGCAGCCGCGGUAAUACGAAGGGGGCUAGCGUUGCUCGGAAUUACUGGGCGUAAAGGGCGCGUAGGCGGACAGCUUAGUCAGAGGUGAAAGCCCAGGGCUCAACCUUGGAAUUGCCUUUGAUACUGGCUGUCUUGAGUUUGGGAGAGGUGAGUGGAACUCCGAGUGUAGAGGUGAAAUUCGUAGAUAUUCGGAAGAACACCAGUGGCGAAGGCGACUCACUGGCCCAAUACUGACGCUGAGGCGCGAAAGCGUGGGGAGCAAACAGGAUUAGAAACCCCGGUAGUCC